GAAUCUUGGACAAUGGGCGCAAGCCUGAUCCAGCCAUGCCGCGUGAGUGAAGAAGGCCUUCGGGUUGUAAACCUCUUUCGCCGGUGAAGAUAAUGACGGUAGCCGGAGAAGAAGCCCCGGCUAACUCCGUGCCAGCAGCCGCGGUAAGACGGAGGGGGCGAGCGUUGUUCGGAAUUACUGGGCGUAAAGCGCACGUAGGCGGCGCGGCAAGUUGGGCGUGAAAGCCCGGGGCUCAACCCCGGAUGUGCGCCUGAGACUGCCGUGCUGGAGGCCGAGAGAGGGUGGCGGAAUUCCCAGUGUAGAGGUGAAAUUCGUAGAUAUUGGGAAGAACACCGGUGGCGAAGGCGGCCACCUGGCUCGGAACUGACGCUGAGGUGCGAAAGCGUGGGGAGCAAACAGG
RNAcentral lists this ribosomal RNA (400 nucleotides) under uncultured bacterium. RNAcentral describes it as "bacterial SSU rRNA". It matches the Rfam family "Bacterial small subunit ribosomal RNA", at positions 359 to 776 of the family's 1533-position model. The record is from RNAcentral.